Vicia villosa (hairy vetch) is the source of this 880-nucleotide long non-coding RNA. RefSeq lists it as uncharacterized. Lineage: Eukaryota; Viridiplantae; Streptophyta; Magnoliopsida; Fabales; Fabaceae. The transcript has 2 exons. The record is from RefSeq and is a predicted model, not a curated record.
AAACCGAGUGGGCUUUUAGGUAACAUUUGGCCCAAGUCAAAUUAAAGAAACCACAACCCUAAAAAAUUUGGAGCUAGCCGUCCCCACUCUCCAUUUUCGGCCUCUCUCUGCUCCAGCAUUAUCCUUCUCCUCAAAAUACUUUGCUCUCCCUCUGUUUUUUUUUUUAAAUCUUCCAUGGCUUCAGAAUCUCAAAAUCGGAUUACAAGCAAAUAGGCAAACCACAACAAACCACCACAAAAUCUUGACAAUCAAUUUAGGAAAACAAGAACCUAAACUAUAAACCAGACAGUUCAGUGGCAACAACAUAGCAACAACAAUUAAUCAAAGAUUUAACACAAAUCAAUUUAAAUAGCAGAAACAUGUAAAAUGAGCAACAAUAUCGAGAGAGGAACCGCAAUCGAAAGUGAAUCGGGUUACCGUCAGAGUCAAGCCGUGGUUCGUUGUGUGCGUAUUGCAGAGUGACGUCGGCACGAUGGAGUUGCGAUUGAGUUGAACGAUUGAUAGAUUGAGGAUGCGUACGAUGGCUGUCCAGUGUUAUUGCCGUCGGUGUGGCUGUUCGCGGCGGAGAACUGUGACUGAUUCGGAUCUGCAACAGGGACGUAGAUGAUUGCGAUUCUGUUGUUGAUGGUGGAGGGAUGAGAGCCGAGCGGCUUCGUCUCGGUGGAUGGCUUCCGAUUCUUCAACUUCUUUUUCUGCAACAAAAAAAAGAGACAAACAAACAUUUGUACAGAUCAUGGUGUUAUGGUUUUGUUUAGAAUGCUGUGUAACUACUGUGUUAAAUGAAAAUUGUUAUGAAUUGCUUUUAUUUAUGAAUGUCGGCUUAUGGUGAUUCAAUGGUUAAAACUUUGAAUGAAAUGCUAUGGUAUGGAUUCUUGAUUUA